Molecule: ribosomal RNA, 315 nt
Filed under: Triticum aestivum (bread wheat)
Lineage: Eukaryota; Viridiplantae; Streptophyta; Magnoliopsida; Poales; Poaceae
Description: partial small subunit ribosomal RNA
Source: RNAcentral
AUGGUAGGAGACAAACCUGAGGUGAUAGCUGAGGAGCUUCAUUCGGCUGGGUCCCAAUGGCUGCAAGUCAGCAAGGAACUCAUGCUCUGGGAGAUUCGCUGGCAAAUUCACCAUUUGGUGACCUCCAUGCUGUGGCGGAAUGGAUAUGCAUCUCAUCUCCUUGACUUGAGGGUUAUCCCGUGGAAUCAGCCCAUACAGGAAACCUACAACCUGUGUCCGUAGAUCUGCUAUGCAUAUCAAAUUCUUCAAUAUAUUCUUUGGCAUGAUGUAAGUAUAGCCAGUCUCCUGUACACAGAAUAUACACACAGUCAGUAG